GGCACAAACUUGAGGUAGAGUAGAUCAGUAUGGUCAUGGGACCCUAAUCAACUAUUCUGCUUCAAGUUUGUGCCC
This is a non-coding RNA of Haemonchus placei, 75 nucleotides long. The record is from Rfam. Lineage: Eukaryota; Metazoa; Nematoda; Chromadorea; Rhabditida; Trichostrongylidae.